GCCACCUAGUGAGCAGGAGACAUGAAUAUGAACGACAACGCAGAGAGUGUGUCGUCAACUGGAAUGUCUUCUCAGAGGGACACAAAAGGGAAUUUCGGAAGGAAUACCAAAUUUCCAGGUGCUUUUACUGCGACAACCUUUAUAAGGACGUUGGCACAGGCUACCGGGGAAGUGGACGGCGAGGAGUGUUGCAGGGUUUUUACUCAGAAGAGGGCUUCCCGGGGUAAUGCAGCUGGAGCUGUUGUCUGGUGGUUGAGGGAACAGCAGACCCCGCCUCACCCCAGUGAAGAAUCCACAGUGCCCAAUAAAUAAAAAUGUAUUCUGCACUGAAA
Long non-coding RNA from Trematomus bernacchii (emerald rockcod), 332 nucleotides. RefSeq lists it as uncharacterized. The transcript has 2 exons. The record is from RefSeq and is a predicted model, not a curated record. Lineage: Eukaryota; Metazoa; Chordata; Actinopteri; Perciformes; Nototheniidae.